CUAGGGGUCCAAUCAGGGCUAUAGCUGCUGGCAUACAUCACAGCCACAGUAAUACCAGAUCUGAGCCUCAUCUGUGUCAGCUCACUGGAACGCUGGAUCCUAAACCCACUGAACAAGGCCAGGGAUUGAACCCACAUCCUCAUGGAUGCUAGUAGGGUUUGUUAACCGCUGAGCCACAAUAGGAACUCCCGCUAUGUAAGUCUUUAAAUGGGUCAACCAAAAGCUCACUUUCCUCCUCAGAACUGAGGUGGGACAGUAAGAAAUUAGCUGAGCCUCCAAAUUUACUCUUUUUUCCUAAUUUAUAAUUAACCCAUCAUACCUGAAAAUAGGUCAAGCUGAUUUUCAGAGUCCAAAGAAUUUAAUCAGAGCCUAGAAUGUCUUGCAGGCAAAGGUCACAGGCAGCUGUGUAUCUGGCCUAAUUUAUUUUUAUGCUUAGUCAUCCAGGAUUGCACAGGGUAAAAGUCCAGAAGAGCUAAUUAAUCUUUAAUACCUUCUUAAUUUAGUAGUGCUGGGACUCCCUGCAAAGCUGAAUCUACACAUCCUUUCAAAUCUGGAAGAUUCAAGACAAAUGAUAGCUAUCAUUCUCUAUGUCCUUAGGUAUAUGCCUAGAGAGCUAAGGAUAAGUGGGGGAAAAAAUGGAUUUUCUUUCAACCUGUUGGAUCAAGGUAAAUGCAAUGCAAAUCUGUUGGCAAUCUUUCCAUAUCACUUGUGAAAUUCCUACCAUUUAGGAAAGACCAGCUCCUACCAAGGUUUUCAGCCAUAAGCUGCCUUAGGUCCCUUUAAGGUAUAAAGAAGAUUAUAAAUGAAACAUGUCAAACAUCACACAAAAACUGAGCACCUUCUAUUUGCCAGGCACUCUUCAAAGUGUGUUCUAUGCCUUAAAGAUCAUUGAUAUUCCCAAAUAUCUAGAAGAUUGGUGCUAUUACCAUCAUCUUCAAGAUAUAGCAGAGGCACAGAAAGAUGAAUGACUUGGCUCAGUCUUACAAUAGUUGGCAAGCUGGGAGUCAAACUUGGGAUUUAUCUCUAGAGGCUACACUUUUUUCAUCAAGGAGCAAUGCUAGGCAGCCAUUUUAAUGGCAUGAGAACAUUUCUAGACAAGUAUUUUAAAUUUGCUACUUCACUUAGUCCUCACCCAUCUUCAUGAGUAGGUAAUUAUUACCAUCCCACAGGUUCAGAGAGGUAGGUCUGUCAAAUGGCAACUCAAAGACGCUUAGUUAAUUAUUAGCAGCACAUUGUUUACUUGUGUGUAAGGUAUGCCAAGCAAUAGAUUUAUUUCAUCCAGCAAAGUCAAAAAACUUAUGUAACAAAAGGAGGGAAACAAAUGCCAGGGACUACCUAGGAAUAGGAUAUCAGUUUGUUCAUUAUUUUGUGUAGAAUAGAGUUCAAGGUGAACAUUCUGUUCUUACAUAGACCAAUGAGGACUUUCAAAGAAAACAAUUGGUGAUCCUCUAGAAACUCAAGCUUGGCCAUGAAUCAUGUAGGUCAUAUUUCAUUUCUAGCAUCAGAAUCUCUCAACUUACCCACUUCAGUCAAGACUCUUAUAAAGGCAUAAUGGCUUUUAGUCUCUUCUUUAUAACAUUUAGUCAUCUGGCAAUCACAAAUACAAUAAUGAGAUAUUUGAAAUCUGUAUUACCUCCAAGGACUUAAUUGGACGUGUCUUAAUAAGAUCAGGUCUCAAAGAUCAUCUUGAUGGAUUUAAGUUAAAUAAAUGUUUUUUUCAUAAUUAGAGUUUUAAUUUUAGUGGGAGCCAUAUUCAGAAAUAAACUGUAUAGCACAUAUUCUUUCGUUCAGGAAAUUUUAGUCAAAACAGAAACAGCUAGGCUUUGAGGAUUUUUUUUUUCCCCUAAUACUUGGGAAGACCAAAUCUGAAAUCUAAUCAUUGGAAAGACUGAUAAUGGAGAAAAGGACAAAAGAGAGUAACAAAACAGGAAGGAGAAAGCUUCGCAUCCUAGAUCUCCACUUUUUUUAGAGUAAUAUUUAAAACACAACAUAGAGUGAUAGUAGCCAGCACUUUGAGGUGAACCACCUGUCAAUGAAUGAAAUCUUGACAAGGCACAACAAUUAAUUAAAAAUCCCAUUUGAAUCCUUAAUUUUUCUCUUUCUUGGAGUGUUUUUUGUUUCCUUGUUUUUAAACCAAACCUAGUAAACAUUACGUGCAUCGUUUAGUAUAUGCAAAAAAAAUCAGAUAUUUAUAUGAUAAAUUAUUACGUGGUAAAUUCAAAGCCUUUAACCGCAGCUCUAUAAUAUAUUUACCUUAUCAGUAUACAUAAUACAAUACAUAUUUAAUUGAAUUUACUACAUUAAUGAACAGUAUUAACUUCCUAAUUAAUAAACAGACCAGGAGCUCCCAUCAUGGCUCAGGGGUUAACAAAUCUGACUAGGAACCAUGAGGUUUUGGGUUCAAUUCCUGGCCUCGCUCAGUGGGUAAAGGAUCCAGUGUUGCUGUGUCUGUGGUGUAGGCCAGUGGCUACAGCUCCGAUUUGACCCCUAGCCUGGGAACCUCCAUAUGCAGCAGGUGCAGCCCUAGAAAAGAUAAAAUAAAUAAGUAAAUAAAUAAAUAAACAGACCAAACAACCAUUAUUUGUGUACAUAUUUGGUUUUCUCUGUAGCUAUCAUACUCGGUAGAGUAAGAGCUGUUUGUGUUAACAACAGCCCUUAAAAAAGGCAGGCGAUUGAGUUCCCUCACAGGCAUAAGGAAACUGGGAGGCCAUGCAAAACCUGACUGGUCCUCUGGGACGACAUGUACAAUUGACAUUUCCCUUUAACGAAUUUAAUCAAAAACAAGCAUAUCUCUUUCCCUUUUCCUCAGGCAUCUACGUAUUUUCUAACCUGUUACUCUAUGGUCAUUCUUAACUGUGUACAAAAUAAAAGACUUGCAUAGAUCUAAUGAUUGUUACUGGUAGGUAUUUUGUACCCUUCAAUUUAGAAAGUGUUCAGGUAUGCAAAAUUAGGCAUUUAUUUACUCAUUAUUCACCUAAUUUCUUUAAGUUAUCCAUAGACUUUGAAUUCGGUAUUUAAACUGACACAUUGAGCCCUUGUGAUUUGUAACAUUAUAAAAAUUAAUUCCAUUAUAUGAGUUCCCUGAUGACUCAUGGGUUAAGGAUUUGGCAUUGUCACUGCUGUGGCACUGGUUACUGCUGUGGCCUGGGUUCAGUUCCUGGCCCAAGAACUUCCACAAGUAAGGCCAAAAACAAAUGAAUAAAAUUUUAAAAUAAAAUAAAAAAAGAAUCCCAGAGUUCCGACUUGGCGCGGCAGAAACGAAUCCGACCAGGAACCACGAGAUUGUGGGUUUGAUCCCUGGCCUUGCUCAGUGGGUUAAGGAUCCGGCCUUGCUGUGAGCUGUGGUGUAGGUUGCAGAUGCAGCUCAGAUCCUGCGUUGCUGUGACUCUGGCGUAGGCUGGUGGCUACGGCUCCGAUUGACCCCUAGCCUGGGAACCUCCAUUUGCCGCGGGUGCAGCCCUAAAACAAACAAAAAAAACGAACAAACAAAAUUCCUUUUUUAAAAUUAUGUUAUUUACAUUAUCACCAUCUUGUAAUAAUUUAGUACAAUGUGUAAUUUGUGUAAUGUAAAAUUUUAAGUAAAGUGGUUAACUGAUCU
RNAcentral lists this long non-coding RNA (3598 nucleotides) under Sus scrofa (pig). RNAcentral's name for it is "lncRNA (ENSSSCG00000058610.1)". Lineage: Eukaryota; Metazoa; Chordata; Mammalia; Artiodactyla; Suidae. The record is from RNAcentral.